This 253-nucleotide ribosomal RNA is filed under the name uncultured bacterium. RNAcentral's name for it is "partial 16S ribosomal RNA". It matches the Rfam family "Bacterial small subunit ribosomal RNA", at positions 524 to 776 of the family's 1533-position model. The record is from RNAcentral.
CACGUAGGGCGCAAGCGUUGUCCGGAAUUAUUGGGCGUAAAGAGCUCGUAGGCGGACUGUCACGUCUGCUGUGAAAAGCUAGGGCUUAACCCUGGCCUUGCAGUGGAUACGGGCAGACUAGAGGUAGGUAGGGGAGAAUGGAAUUCCCGGUGUAGCGGUGAAAUGCGCAGAUAUCGGGAAGAACACCCGUGGCGAAGGCGGCUCUCUGGGACGGUACUGACGCUGAGACGCGAAAGCGUGGGGAGCGAACAGG